RNAcentral lists this unclassified non-coding RNA (20 nucleotides) under Mus musculus (house mouse). Its description in RNAcentral is "oocyte_clustered_small_RNA11784". The record is from RNAcentral. Lineage: Eukaryota; Metazoa; Chordata; Mammalia; Rodentia; Muridae.
AAGGCUUGCUGGUGGUUCCG